GUCCUAGCCGUAAACGGUGCACGUUUGCUGUAAAGGAAUCGACCCCUUUGUGGCGAAGCUAACGCGUUAAACGUGCCGCCUGGGAAGUACGGUCGCAAGAUUAAAACUCAAAGAAAUUGACGGGGCCUGCACAAGCGGUGGAGUAUGUGGCUCAAUUCGAUGCAACGCGAAGAACCUUACCUGGCCUUGACAUGUACGUAGUAGAAGGGUGAAAGCCUGACGACCUCCAAAAGAGGAGCGUACACAGGUGCUGCAUGGCUGUCGU
This 265-nucleotide ribosomal RNA is filed under the name uncultured bacterium. RNAcentral describes it as "partial 16S ribosomal RNA". It matches the Rfam family "Bacterial small subunit ribosomal RNA", at positions 793 to 1055 of the family's 1533-position model. The record is from RNAcentral.